GCCCGGCCACUACCGGCCGCCCGCGAGGGCUCUGCGCGGCCGCUCGGCGCGCGCGCUCCGGCGGGGAGCAGGCGACAACUAAUGGAGACAUUUCCAGGCGGAGCACCUGGCGAGCGGAGCGCGCCGGCGUCCCCAGGCGCCGCGGUCGUCAGCCGAGCCCGCACCGGCGUGACGUGGGCGAGCGAGCGCGCUGCUCCCACCCGGCCGCCCAUUAACGCUUUCCCCCGCGGGCGCCGCGCGCUCGCCAACUUUCCCCUCCGCCUGGCCCGCGCCCUGGCUCCGGCAACUGCUGGGGGACAGUGCUCAUUUGCCUUCUCCGACAACGGCACGCUGGGCGGUGUUUGUCUCCGGGCCUCUCGUGUGCCUCUGUUUCCUCCACGGAGCAGGAGAGCCAGCAGUCCCGGCUUCCCGGCCCUGCUGCCGAGCCCAGAGCUUCCGCUGGCUUCUCUGGGAAGGACACAGCUUUGCGGUCUGAGUUCACUCUGGAAACACGAAGCUGGGCCUCGGGCGGGCUACGGGCCUGCAGACACCCUUUCCGACCCUGGGCUGUUGGAGGGGGUUGUGAGAGGGGUGCCUGUAUGUCGGGGGCAUCUGGAAACGUCCUCCAGAGUAAGGCAGGGAGCUUGCUCGAUUCUAGCCGGAAGGAAGUGGAGUCAGGGCGCCGAGGGAGGGAUGACCGCUGUCCCUGCCCUGCUGGCAGCUUCCUCCUCCCUCUUCUUGCCACAGGAUGGUUUUGGCAGGGCCUCGGGGCCAACGGGGACAAGCACGCCAGUCGCUCCCCGCAGAGCCUACCUGGGACUUAGAUUCUUUUCAUAG
This 816-nucleotide long non-coding RNA is filed under the name Felis catus (domestic cat). RNAcentral describes it as "lncRNA (ENSFCAG00000041638.2)". Lineage: Eukaryota; Metazoa; Chordata; Mammalia; Carnivora; Felidae. The record is from RNAcentral.